CGGUAAUUCCAGCUCCAAUAGCGUAUAUUAAAGUUGUUGCGGUUAAAAAGCUCGUAGUUGGCACUCAGUUCCGGACUGACGGUGCACCGCCCGGUGUUUUUCCGUCACGCUCCGAACAGCAGGGAUGACCCUGCCCAGCCGGCUCGCACGGGGUGCUCUUUACCGAGUGUCCCGCGUGGCUGGCAAGUUUACUUUGAAAAAAUUAGAGUGCUCAAAGCAGGCUGCUUGAAUGGCCUGAAUGGUGAUGCAUGGAAUAAUGGAAUAGGACCUCGGUUCUAUUUUAUUGGUUUUCGGAUCCAGAGGUAAUGACGAAUAGAAACAGGCGGGGGCAUUCGUACUGCGACGCUAGAGGUGAAAUUCUUGGACCGUCGCAAGACGAACUAUUGCGAAAGCAUUUGCCAAGGAUGUUUUCAUUAAUCAAGAACGAAAGUUAGAGGUUCGAAGGCGAUCAGAUACCGCCCUAGUUCUAACCAUAAACGAUGCUGACUAGCGAUCCGCCGGCGUUAUUCCCAUGACCCGGCGGGCAGCUUCCGGGAAACCAAAGUCUUUGGGUUCCGGGGGAAGUAUGGUUGCAAAGCUGAAACUUAAAGGAAUUGACGGAAGGGCACCACCAGGAGUGGAGCCUGCGGCUUAAUUUGACUCAACACGGGGAACCUCACCAGGCCCGGACACUGGAAGGAUUGACAGAUUGAGAGCUCUUUCUCGAUUCAGUGGGUGGUGGUGCAUGGCCGUUCUUAGUUGGUGGAGCGAUUUGUCUG
This 758-nucleotide ribosomal RNA is filed under the name Rayllianassa cf. amboinensis MNHN IU 2013-7137. RNAcentral's name for it is "SSU rRNA". It matches the Rfam family "Eukaryotic small subunit ribosomal RNA", at positions 577 to 1317 of the family's 1831-position model. Lineage: Eukaryota; Metazoa; Arthropoda; Malacostraca; Decapoda; Callianassidae. The record is from RNAcentral.